This 343-nucleotide long non-coding RNA is filed under the name Setaria italica (foxtail millet). RNAcentral's name for it is "long non-coding RNA (SITA_LNC001812)". The record is from RNAcentral. Lineage: Eukaryota; Viridiplantae; Streptophyta; Magnoliopsida; Poales; Poaceae.
GGGGUGUUUGGAUACCAAGGGCUAAACUUUAGCCCUGUCACGUCGGAUGUUCGGAUGCUAAUUAGGAGGAUUAAACAUGAGCUAAUUACAAAACUAAUAGCAGAACCCCUAGGCUAAAUCACGAGACGAAUCUAUUAAGCCUAGUUAAUCCAUCAUUAGCGAAUGGUUACUGUAGCACCACAUUGUUAAAUCAUGGACUAAUUAGGCUUAAUAGAUUCGUCUCACGAUUUAGCCUAGGGGUUGUGCAAUUAGUUUUGUAAUUAAACUACGUUUAAUACUCCUAAUUAGUAUCCAAACAUACGAUGUGACAGGGGCUAAAAUUUAGCCCCUGUCUUCCAAACAC